GGAGGGGUGGCCGAGUGGUUUAAGGCGACGGUCUCGAACACCGUUUUCCCGCAAGGGAUCGCAGGUUCGAAUCCUGUCCCCUCCG
This 85-nucleotide transfer RNA is filed under the name Candidatus Buchananbacteria bacterium RIFCSPLOWO2_01_FULL_46_12. Its description in RNAcentral is "tRNA-Ser". It matches the Rfam family "tRNA". From Rfam's summary of the family: Transfer RNA (tRNA) molecules are approximately 80 nucleotides in length. Their secondary structure includes four short double-helical elements and three loops (D, anti-codon, and T loops). Further hydrogen bonds mediate the characteristic L-shaped molecular structure. tRNAs have two regions of fundamental functional importance: the anti-codon, which is responsible for specific mRNA codon recognition, and the 3' end, to which the tRNAs corresponding amino acid is attached (by aminoacyl-tRNA synthetases). tRNAs cope with the degeneracy of the genetic code in two manners: having more than one tRNA (with a specific anti-codon) for a particular amino acid; and 'wobble' base-pairing, i.e. permitting non-standard base-pairing at the 3rd anti-codon position. The record is from RNAcentral. Lineage: Bacteria; Candidatus Buchananiibacteriota.